Streptomyces autolyticus is the source of this 75-nucleotide non-coding RNA. The record is from Rfam. NCBI's taxonomy places the organism in Bacteria, Bacillati, Actinomycetota, Actinomycetes, Kitasatosporales, Streptomycetaceae.
CUUGAUGGAGCCGAGCAGCAGCGGCCGUUCGGUGUCCCGCUCCUGGCCGUAUGUAGCGAGCAGGGCCUGCGCCUC